CGUGGGUAACCUGCCCAAGGGAUCGGGAUAACACCUGGAAACAGAUGCUAAUACCGGAUAACAACAGAUGAUGCCUAUCAACUGUUUAAAAGAUGGUUCUGCUAUCACUCUUGGAUGGACCUGCGGUGCAUUAGCUAGUUGGUAGGGUAACGGCCUACCAAGGCGAUGAUGCAUAGCCGAGUUGAGAGACUGAUCGGCCACAUUGGGACUGAGACACGGCCCAAACUCCUACGGGAGGCAGCAGGG
This 246-nucleotide ribosomal RNA is filed under the name uncultured Lactobacillus sp. RNAcentral describes it as "partial 16S ribosomal RNA". It matches the Rfam family "Bacterial small subunit ribosomal RNA", at positions 116 to 354 of the family's 1533-position model. Lineage: Bacteria; Bacillati; Bacillota; Bacilli; Lactobacillales; Lactobacillaceae. The record is from RNAcentral.